Molecule: ribosomal RNA, 484 nt
Filed under: uncultured bacterium
Lineage: Bacteria
Description: partial 16S ribosomal RNA
Rfam family: Bacterial small subunit ribosomal RNA
Source: RNAcentral
AUUGAACGCUGGCGGCAGGCCUAACACAUGCAAGUCGAGCGGAUGAAGGGAGCUUGCGCCUGGAUUCAGCGGCGGACGGGUGAGUAAUGCCUAGGAAUCUGCCUGGUAGUGGGGGAUAACGUCCGGAAACGGGCGCUAAUACCGCAUACGUCCUGAGGGAGAAAGUGGGGGAUCUUCGGACCUCACGCUAUCAGAUGAGCCUAGGUCGGAUUAGCUAGUUGGUGGGGUAAAGGCCUACCAAGGCGACGAUCCGUAACUGGUCUGAGAGGAUGAUCAGUCACACUGGAACUGAGACACGGUCCAGACUCCUACGGGAGGCAGCAGUGGGGAAUAUUGGACAAUGGGCGAAAGCCUGAUCCAGCCAUGCCGCGUGUGUGAAGAAGGUCUUCGGAUUGUAAAGCACUUUAAGUUGGGAGGAAGGGCAGUAAGUUAAUACCUUGCUGUUUUGACGUUACCAACAGAAUAAGCACCGGCUAACUUCGUG